This 580-nucleotide ribosomal RNA is filed under the name Pseudobunocephalus iheringii. RNAcentral's name for it is "partial 16S ribosomal RNA". It matches the Rfam family "Bacterial large subunit ribosomal RNA", at positions 1811 to 2604 of the family's 2925-position model. The record is from RNAcentral. Lineage: Eukaryota; Metazoa; Chordata; Actinopteri; Siluriformes; Aspredinidae.
AAACAUCGCCUCCUGCAAUAUCAACGUAUAGGAGGUCUUGCCUGCCCAGUGAUACAUUAAACGGCCGCGGUAUUUUGACCGUGCGAAGGUAGCGCAAUCACUUGUCUUUUAAAUGAAGACCUGUAUGAAUGGUGGAACGAGGGCUUAGCUGUCUCCCUUUUUAAGUUAAUGAAAUUGAUCUGUCCGUGCAGAAGCGGGCAUAACCACACAAGACGAGAAGACCCUUUGGAGCUUAAGACAUAGGGCCAAAUAUGUAAAGAAUUUACAUAUAAUAAAUUAAACCAAGUAAUUACUGGCCCAUAUCUUCGGUUGGGGCGACCACGGGAUAAAACAAAACUCCCACGCGGACUGGGGCAACCCCCUACAGCCAAGAAAGACAUUUCUAAGCAGCAGAACAUCUGACCCUACAGAUCCGGCUUUGCCGAUCAACGGACCAAGUUACCCAAGGGAUAACAGCGCAAUCCUCUUCAAGAGCCCAUAUCGACAAGGGGGUUUACGACCUCGAUGUUGGAUCAGGACAUCCUAAUGGUGCAGCCGCUAUUAAGGGUUCGUUUGUUCAACGAUUAAAGUCCUACGUGAU